Long non-coding RNA from Cyanistes caeruleus (blue tit), 689 nucleotides. RefSeq lists it as uncharacterized. The record is from RefSeq and is a predicted model, not a curated record. NCBI's taxonomy places the organism in Eukaryota, Metazoa, Chordata, Aves, Passeriformes, Paridae.
AAUCUGAAGAAAAUAAGGGAUGUUCCCAGUGAUUUAAAUAUGAUGGCUGGAAGCACAGAAGACAGCAUGAAGCAAGCAAGUAAACUAGUCUAGUGACUCAAUGUUCAGGAUGAAAUUCCAGAUUUCAGUGCUAUUACUAUUAUUUCUAGCCAUGGUAGAUGUUCCUGUACCUGACAUAUGAAGAUUGGUUUCCUUAGGAAGAAUUUACUGAGACAAAGAAACAGAGUUUGAAGGAUCCCAGGAGGUUGGCAACAUGCAUAUAAAGCUUCAUACUUAAUUGCUGCAUUAUGCUAUGAUGAUAGAAUUAAGCCUUCUUUACAGAAGAUUUUUCCCUGGUUUCAAUUAGCGCCUAGAUUAUCUAAAGGAAAAUAUUAAACAAGAAGAGGCCUUUAUGGUAUACUGUAUAAUUUUACUGAGAACUGAAUUAAUUUAAGUAUAAUUAGUGACAGCUGAAAACCAUGCAAAACAUUGUGUACUUGAAUCUCAUUGUGGCAAAAAAAAUUUGCAGGAGAUUUCCUGUUCCUAGAGCCUGUAAGGACUGGAAUAUUACUAAUUUUUUUCAAUAAUACUACAGUACUUUGGAAUUUGCUUUCAAAAAACUAGAUAGAUAGAAAAUUUGUACAGUUGUCCAUCCUUCCAAAACCUUGCUGUUUUUGAUAACAAUUUGGAAGAUUAAACUAGUUUAAUUG